UACGUAGGGUGCGAGCGUUGUCCGGAAUUAUUGGGCGUAAAGAGCUCGUAGGCGGUUUGUUGCGUCGGCUGUGAAAUCCCGAGGCUCAACCUCGGGUCUGCAGUCGAUACGAGCAAACUAGAGUGUUGCAGGGGAGACUGGAAUUCCUGGUGUAGCGGUGAAAUGCGCAGAUAUCAGGAGGAACACCGGUGGCGAAGGCGGGUCUCUGGGCAACAACUGACGCUGGAGGAGCGAAAGCGU
Molecule: ribosomal RNA, 240 nt
Filed under: uncultured bacterium
Lineage: Bacteria
Description: partial 16S ribosomal RNA
Rfam family: Bacterial small subunit ribosomal RNA
Source: RNAcentral